This 253-nucleotide ribosomal RNA is filed under the name uncultured bacterium. RNAcentral describes it as "partial 16S ribosomal RNA". It matches the Rfam family "Bacterial small subunit ribosomal RNA", at positions 524 to 776 of the family's 1533-position model. The record is from RNAcentral.
CACGUAGGGCGCAAGCGUUGUCCGGAAUUAUUGGGCGUAAAGAGCUCGUAGGCGGUCUGUUGCGUCCGCUGUGAAAACUCGGGGCUUAACCCCGAGCCUGCAGUGGAUACGGGCAGACUAGAGGUAGGUAGGGGAGAAUGGAAUUCCUGGUGUAGCGGUGAAAUGCGCAGAUAUCAGGAGGAACACCGGUGGCGAAGGCGGGUCUCUGGUCCGAUACUGACGCUGAGGAGCGAAAGCGUGGGGAGCGAACAGG